This 504-nucleotide ribosomal RNA is filed under the name uncultured microorganism. Its description in RNAcentral is "bacterial SSU rRNA". It matches the Rfam family "Bacterial small subunit ribosomal RNA", at positions 9 to 507 of the family's 1533-position model. The record is from RNAcentral.
GAGUUUGAUCGUGGCUCAGAUUGAACGCUGGCGGCAGGCUUAACACAUGCAAGUCGAGCGGAGAUGAGGUGCUUGCACCUUAUCUCAGCGGCGGACGGGUGAGUAAUGCUUAGGAAUCUGCCUAUUAGUGGGGGACAACAUUCCGAAAGGAAUGCUAAUACCGCAUACGUCCUACGGGAGAAAGCAGGGGAUCUUCGGACCUUGCGCUAAUAGAUGAGCCUAAGUCGGAUUAGCUAGUUGGUGGGGUAAAGGCCUACCAAGGCGACGAUCUGUAGCGGGUCUGAGAGGAUGAUCCGCCACACUGGGACUGAGACACGGCCCAGACUCCUACGGGAGGCAGCAGUGGGGAAUAUUGGACAAUGGGGGGAACCCUGAUCCAGCCAUGCCGCGUGUGUGAAGAAGGCCUUAUGGUUGUAAAGCACUUUAAGCGAGGAGGAGGCUACUGAGACUAAUACUCUUGGAUAGUGGACGUUACUCGCAGAAUAAGCACCGGCUAACUCUGUG